UUUCUUUAGUUUCUUUGCUCUACGUGGGCACCUGGCACUAAGGGAGUACCUUAUUAUCCUACAUCGCAAAUUUCAACAGCUACAUUAUAUUUCCUUCUGACACUUGGAAGGUAUUGAAAUUUCUAGAAAUGUAUCCUUCUCACAAAGUAGAGACCAAGAGAAAAACUCAUUGAUUGGGUUUCUACUUCUUUCAAGGACUCAGGAAAUUUCACUUUGAACUGAGGCCAAGUGAGCUGUUAAGAUAACCCACACUUAAACUAAAGGCUAAGAAUAUAGGCUUGAUGGGAAAUUGAAGGUAGGCUGAGUAUUGGGAAUCCAAAUUGAAUUUUGAUUCUCCUUGGCAGUGAACUACUUUGAAGAAGUGGUCAAUGGGUUGUUGCUGCCAUGAGCAUGUACAACCUCUGGAGCUAGAAGCUCCUCAGGAAAGCCAGUUCUCCAAGUUCUUAACCUGUGGCACUGAAAGGAAUGUUGAGUUACCUCUUCAUGUUUUAGACAGCAAACCCUAUCCAUUAAAGUACUUGUUAGAACACUGAAAGACUG
RNAcentral lists this long non-coding RNA (540 nucleotides) under Homo sapiens (human). RNAcentral's name for it is "non-protein coding lnc-MSN-7:1". Lineage: Eukaryota; Metazoa; Chordata; Mammalia; Primates; Hominidae. The record is from RNAcentral.